GCCCUCAAAAUAGGUAUACAACACUCAUUAUGAGUCAAAAUACAUGGUAUAGAAAACAAACUACAACUUUGACAAUACAGAUGUCGUGUAGAAUACGACAAUACAACUGUGAAUUUGAAUACAAAUAUUGUCUUCUAGACAAUAUACACACCCAAAUAAGUCCUCAUUAAUUAUUCAUACACUAUUUUACAGAAAUAGUGAGG
This 203-nucleotide long non-coding RNA is filed under the name Panax ginseng (ginseng). RNAcentral describes it as "long non-coding RNA (PGIN_LNC003146)". Lineage: Eukaryota; Viridiplantae; Streptophyta; Magnoliopsida; Apiales; Araliaceae. The record is from RNAcentral.